Molecule: transfer RNA, 75 nt
Filed under: Microcaldota archaeon
Lineage: Archaea; Nanobdellati; Microcaldota
Also listed under: 1 other name
Description: Candidatus Micrarchaeota archaeon tRNA-Met
Rfam family: tRNA
About the family: Transfer RNA (tRNA) molecules are approximately 80 nucleotides in length. Their secondary structure includes four short double-helical elements and three loops (D, anti-codon, and T loops). Further hydrogen bonds mediate the characteristic L-shaped molecular structure. tRNAs have two regions of fundamental functional importance: the anti-codon, which is responsible for specific mRNA codon recognition, and the 3' end, to which the tRNAs corresponding amino acid is attached (by aminoacyl-tRNA synthetases). tRNAs cope with the degeneracy of the genetic code in two manners: having more than one tRNA (with a specific anti-codon) for a particular amino acid; and 'wobble' base-pairing, i.e. permitting non-standard base-pairing at the 3rd anti-codon position.
Source: RNAcentral
GCCGGCGUAGCUUAGCCUGGUUAGAGCGCUAGACUCAUAAUCUAGAGGUCGCUGGUUCAAAUCCGGCCGCCGGCA